GUCCUUCGGGAUGAGUAAAGUGGCGCACGGGUGAGUAAUGCGUAGAUAAUCUGCCUGGUGAUCUGGGAUAACAUCUCGAAAGGGGUGCUAAUACCGGAUAAGCCCACGGAGUCUUCGGACUUUGCGGGAAAAGGGGGGGACCUUCGGGCCUUCUGUCACCAGAUGAGUCUACGUACCAUUAGCUAGUUGGUGGGGUAAGAGCCCACCAAGGCUACGAUGGUUAGCUGGUCUGAGAGGAUGAUCAGCCACACUGGAACUGAGACACGGUCCAGACUCCUACGGGAGGCAGCAGUGGGGAAUUUUGCGCAAUGGGGGAAACCCUGACGCAGCAACGCCGCGUGAGUGAUGAAGGCCUUCGGGUCGUAAAGCUCUGUCAGAGGGAAAGAAAUGUGGGUGGCUAAUAUCCAUUCCGCUUGACGGUACCCUCAAAGGAAGCACCGGCUAACUCCGUGCCAGCAGCCGCGGUAAUACGGAGGGUGCGAGCGUUGUUCGGAAUUAUUGGGCGUAAAGCGCGUGUAGGCGGUUUUAUAAGUCUGAUGUGAAAGCCCCGGGCUCAACCUGGGAAGUGCAUUGGAAACUGUAAGACUUGAGUACGGGAGAGGGCAGUGGAAUUCCUAGUGUAGGAGUGAAAUCCGUAGAUAUUAGGAGGAACACCGGUGGCGAAGGCGGCUGCCUGGACCGAUACUGACGCUG
RNAcentral lists this ribosomal RNA (693 nucleotides) under uncultured bacterium. RNAcentral describes it as "bacterial SSU rRNA". It matches the Rfam family "Bacterial small subunit ribosomal RNA", at positions 75 to 748 of the family's 1533-position model. The record is from RNAcentral.